CAGUGGCGUCUCUUGUUGGGGCUGCGGUUGUGACAGGGCCUCACUCUGCAGCUCCCCCUCUCCUCCUUUCCCUUCCUCCCCUGCUGACGGGUCCGGAGAAAGGUCAUUGCUGCAGAAAGGAGGAGAAAACGAAGAGUGAGACAAAGACAACGCGGAGGUGAGGAGGACACAGCUGGAAAAAAAACCCACAGGGUUGGUGUACAAAAGUUGGAUGGAAAAAGAAAUAGAGCAGCAACAUCUUCGGGAAAAAGAGAUGUGAAACUGACAGGCAGUUGUGACACACAGAAUCACAAACCAGGACAGUCAUGCUCAGCUCGUGUUAAUUCAAGUGGGCCCAAUGGUUAAGCUCUUCGCCUGCCACCGUGGAGGAUCCCGACUGGACCAUCCUUGGUACUCGCGGUUCUGGUGUCUGGACUCCAGUGACCUGUCCAAGACACUGAUACCCCAAACUGCUCCCCGGGCGCAUCAGCUGCCCCCGUGUGUGUCUGUUCACUGCGGUGUGUAAAAUGUAGAGAACAUUUUCUUGCUUCACCAACUAAUUAUUAUGUUCAUUUAUCAAAAAAUUCAUAAACACGUAAUUG
This is a long non-coding RNA of Syngnathoides biaculeatus (alligator pipefish), 581 nucleotides long. RefSeq lists it as uncharacterized. The transcript is spliced from 3 exons. Lineage: Eukaryota; Metazoa; Chordata; Actinopteri; Syngnathiformes; Syngnathidae. The record is from RefSeq and is a predicted model, not a curated record.